UGAACGCUAGCGGCAGGCCUAAUACAUGCAAGUCGAGCGGCAAGUCGAGGAGUAAUCUAAGACCUAGAGCGGCGCACGGGUGCGUAACGCGUAUGCAACCUACCUUAUACUGGGGAAUAGCCCGGAGAAAUCUGGAUUAAUACCCCAUGGUACAUAUUGAAGGCAUCUGAGAUAUGUUAAAGAUUUAUUGGUAUAAGAUGGGCAUGCGUCUGAUUAGCUAGUUGGCGGUGUAACGGACCACCAAGGCGACGAUCAGUAGGGGUUCUGAGAGGAAGGUCCCCCACACUGGCACUGAGAUACGGGCCAGACUCCUACGGGAGGCAGCAGUAGGGAAUAUUGGGCAAUGGUCGGAAGACUGACCCAGCCAUGCCGCGUGCAGGAAGAAGGCCCUCUGGGUUGUAAACUGCUUUUAUCUGGGAAGAAAAGGCCAUGCGUGGCAGAUUGCCGGUACCAGAUGAAUAAGCACCGGCUAACUCCGUGCCA
Molecule: ribosomal RNA, 483 nt
Filed under: Algoriphagus aquatilis
Lineage: Bacteria; Pseudomonadati; Bacteroidota; Cytophagia; Cytophagales; Cyclobacteriaceae
Description: bacterial SSU rRNA
Rfam family: Bacterial small subunit ribosomal RNA
Source: RNAcentral